This 213-nucleotide long non-coding RNA is filed under the name Panax ginseng (ginseng). Its description in RNAcentral is "long non-coding RNA (PGIN_LNC006518)". The record is from RNAcentral. Lineage: Eukaryota; Viridiplantae; Streptophyta; Magnoliopsida; Apiales; Araliaceae.
CCCAUCAAGCAUACACCCUUGUGAAACUUCCCGUAUAUAGCACAUGCUUCAAACUUCUUAUUCUGCUGGCUACCUUGUUGAUUCCCAGCACCCACAUUUCCAUUCCACUUUCUUUUCAGGUUAUUGUUACCAUUUCCACUACCACCACCUCCAUUCUUCAACUCCACUUCAUUCUUCUUCUUUUUCUGUUCCUGAUUGAACUUGGUUACCGCC